This 2099-nucleotide ribosomal RNA is filed under the name soil metagenome. RNAcentral describes it as "bacterial LSU rRNA". The stretch from base 1 to 1881 matches the Rfam family "Bacterial large subunit ribosomal RNA", at positions 764 to 2925 of the family's 2925-position model. The record is from RNAcentral.
GCGUGGAGGGCCGAACCGUAGCGAGUUGCAACACGCCCGGAUGACCUGUGGUUAGAGGUGAAAUGCCAAUCGAACCUGGAGAUAGCUGGUUCUCCUCGAAAUAGCUUUAGGGCUAGCGUCGUACGGUAACAUAUGGGGGUAGAGCUCUGUUUCGGAAUGGGGGUCGUAAGAUUACCCACCCUUGACAAACUACGAAUACCAUAUGCGGAACUACGGCAGUUAGAACGGCGGGGCUAAGCUCGUCGCUCAAAAGGGAAACAGCCCAGACCAUCAUCUAAGGUCCCUAAGUCUAUGCUAAGUGGGAAACGAGGUGAGAUUUCUUAAACAACGAGGAUGUUGGCUUAGAAGCAGCCAUUCAUUUAAAGAGUGCGUAACAGCUCACUCGUCAAGAGAUCUUGCGCGGAAAAUGUAACGGGGCUCAAGUGUAGUACCGAAGCUGAGGAUGCGUAUUUAUACGCGUGGUAGAGGAGCGUUGAUAGGGCUUUGAAGUCGGACUGCGAGGUCCGGUGGAGCGCUAUCAAGUGAGAAUGCUGGAAUGAGUAACCAUAAGGCAGGUGAGAAUCCUGCCCACCGAAAGAGCAAGGUUUCCUGGGCCACGGUAAUCGUCCCAGGGUUAGUCGGUCCUAAGCCGAGGCGCAUAGCGUAGGCGAUGGACAACGGGUUAAUAUUCCCGUACUAGUGUGAAAUUGUAUGGCGUGCGCGGCAUAUUCGCCGGAGCGGAUUCAUGGUUAUAUCCGUCUAAGCUUGAGAAAUACGAGCGAAUGAAAGGGCUUUAUUGUCCGAUUCCGGUCAAGGUGCUGACUAGAAAAGCUACUAUACUUAUGUUUCACAUUAUCCGUACCGCAAACCGACACAGGUGCUCAGGUCGAGUAGACCAAGGUGUACGAGUGAUUCUUCGUCAAGGAACUCGGCAAACAAGCGGCCGUAACUUCGGAAUAAGGCCUACCUCCCUUGUGGAGGUCACAGCUAAAGAACCCAUGCAACUGUUUACCAAAAACAUAGGUCUCUGCUAACACGAAAGUGGAUGUAUAGGGGCUGACGCCUGCCCGGUGCCGGAAGGUUAAGGAGAGAGCUUUACGGCUUGAACUGAAGCCCCGGUGAACGGCGGCGGUAACUAUAACCGUCCUAAGGUAGCGAAAUUCCUUGUCAGGUAAGUUCUGACCCGCACGAAUGGCGUAAUGAUAUGGGUACUGUCUCGACGAAGAGCUCGGUGAAAGUGCAUUGACGGUAAAGAUGCCGUCUGUCCGCAGCAGGACGAAAAGACCCCGUGGAGCUUUACUACAACUUGACAUUGAGUUGGGUUAUAACAUGUGUAGCAUAGGUGGGAGACUAUGAAGCUGAGGCGCUAGCCUUGGUGAAGUCUCCAGUGAAAUACCACCCUCGUUAUGAUCUUACUCUUACUCGGACCGUUAUCCGGUUUGAAGACAGUGUCUGGUGGGUAGUUUAACUGGGGCGGUUGCCUCCUAAAGAGUAUCGGAGGCGUUCAAAGGUUGGCUAGGUUCGGAUGGAAAUCGAAUCGAUAGUGUAUACGCAUAAGCCAGCUUGACUGUGAGGCCUACAAGCCGAGCAGGUACGAAAGUAGGAGUAAGUUUUCCGCUGUCCGUACAUAUUUGUACAAGAGUGUGGUAUCGGCAGCGCUUUCGGAUAAAAGUUACCCCGGGGAUAACAGGCUUAUAGCGCCCAAUAGUUCACAUAGACGGCGCUGUUUGGCACCUCGAUGUCGGCUCAUCUUAUCCUGGAGGGGGAGCACCUUCCAAGGGUCCGGCUGUUCGCCGGUUAAAAAGGUACGCGAGCUGGGUUCAGAACGUAAAUAACAUUGCGUUCUACUACUGAGAAGUAGUAAAAAUACAGAUGUACAUCGCAUUAAUUGUAUUUAAGCAUCUGACUAAUAUCGGUGAAACCCGAACUGAACUUCGAACGAUUCAGAGGGUAAUACCGAGGGAAGUCUGCGCUAGCACGUUGCUAGUCAUGACCCCGUAGAGACUGAUCCGCAAGGAGAGAUAGUGGUUACUACUCUAAGGAGUAAAUUUAUAGCCGCUAUAAUACGUCAGCCCCUAACUACAUCGUAGAAGGGUGAAGAUAUAGUCCGUGCCAUUAGU